AGCAGCCGCGGUAAUUCCAGCUCCAAUAGCGUAUAUUAAAGUUGCUGCAGUUAAAAAGCUCGUAGUUGAAUUUCGGGACCGAUAUAUCGGUCGUGCCUCGGUACGUACUGGUAUUUUCGGUUUCUACCUUCUGACGAACCUUGAUGUCAUUAAUUUGGUGUCUUGGGGAAUCAGGACUGUUACUUUGAAAAAAUUUAGAGUGUUUAAAGCAGGCUCACGCUUGAAUACAUUAGCAUGGAAUAAUGAAAUAGGACGUUUGAUUCUAUUUUGUUGGUUUCUAGGAUCGACGUAAUGAUUAAUAGGGAUAGUUGGGGGCAUUAGUAUUCAAUUGUCAGAGGUGAAAUUCUUGGAUUUAUUGAAGACUAACUACUGCGAAAGCAUUUGCCAAGGAUGUUUUCAUUAAUCAAGAACGAAAGUUAGGGGAUCGAAGACGAUCAGAUACCGUCGUAGUCUUAACCAUAAACUAUGCCGACUAGGGAUCGGAUGAUGUUAAUUUUUUAAUGACUCAUUCGGCGCCUUA
This 520-nucleotide small RNA is filed under the name uncultured Glomus. RNAcentral's name for it is "SSU rRNA". It matches the Rfam family "Eukaryotic small subunit ribosomal RNA", at positions 569 to 1090 of the family's 1831-position model. The record is from RNAcentral. Lineage: Eukaryota; Fungi; Glomeromycota; Glomeromycetes; Glomerales; Glomeraceae.